RNAcentral lists this ribosomal RNA (534 nucleotides) under Perichaena longipes. Its description in RNAcentral is "bacterial SSU rRNA". It matches the Rfam family "Eukaryotic small subunit ribosomal RNA", at positions 11 to 550 of the family's 1831-position model. The record is from RNAcentral. Lineage: Eukaryota; Evosea; Eumycetozoa; Trichiida; Trichiidae.
AUCCUGCCAGAAUCAUAUGCUUGUCCCGAAGCUUAAGCCAUGCAUGUGUCAGAACAAUAGUAGCUUGAUCUAGAAUCUGCGAACGGCUCCGUAUAUCUGUUAUAACCUACCGCCAACCAUCAGCACCGGCAUAACCACGGUAAUUCUGUGGCUAAUACGUGUAAAUGAGGGGCGCCAAGCGCGAGUGCGGCGCCCCUGGUCUUGUCGCUCGACCGACGGCGGGUAAAACCGCUAGCGUGAUUGCUGACAAGGGGACCUGACCGCGGCACUAGCCGUGGCAUGUGCGAUGGAUAUCAGACCUAUCAACUAGAUGCCCAGGUAUAGCCUGGGCAUGGUUAUAACGGGUACAGAGGAUCAGGGUUCGGUCCUGGAGAGGUAGCCUGAGAGAUCGCUACUACUUCUAAGGAAGGCAGCAGGCGCGCAACGUUCCCAAUGGGGGCACCCUGAGGACGUGAAGGGACAUAUCAAUGCCCGGCCCUUAAAGCCGGGCAAUUGAAAUGGGGGACUUUUAAACCCCACACCGAGUAACAAUUA